Molecule: long non-coding RNA, 784 nt
Organism: Hyla sarda
Lineage: Eukaryota; Metazoa; Chordata; Amphibia; Anura; Hylidae
Exons: 3
Source: RefSeq, a predicted model, not a curated record
GCCCUUAUGCAGACAACAGGGGAGAACGGGUGAUGUAUGUGCGGGCAAGAGGCGUGGACUGUGCAGCACAAUGUGAACAUGACCCUGAAUACUUCACAGGCCGGGCUGAGUUUCCUGCACCUCCAACACAGGCCCGGACACCCACCCAAUGCCUCCAGACCCCCCCUGCCCACCUUGAUGCUGCCCUUCAUGAGGUUCAGAAUCCGCUGACAUAGUGAGGAGCCGUCUGGGCAUCAAGUUCUUCAGCAAGAACAUUUAGCUGGACCUGGCGGUAUGUACCAUCUGAAUUAGAUAAGGAAAGACUAUAGAGAAGACGUCACCUAUAGUCACUGAUAUCAUUGUGUAUUGUCCCAUCAGAGCUGUAGUCACUUGUAAGUUUUGCAGUAAUGAUGGGUGAAACAACAACUCCCAGCAUCCCCUCACCACUACUUAUGUCAUACUGGGAGCUGUAGUUUUAAAUUGUAAAAACUUCUUUAGCAUUUUCCCAUUCUGUGGCAAUUGGUGUAUUUGAUUAUUAUACUGGAUACAUUUAAUAAUAUUGUAAGUUCUUUAAGAAACACCUUAUUUUCUGUCCAGCAAAACGAAAUUCUCUAAUAGUGCCCCUCCCGAGACUAGACUCUGGAUCCGCCCCUGCUCAGCACACAAAAAGAGCAGAGCUCAAAGAGAGAGCAGAGCUCAAAGAGAGACAGAGCUCAAAGAGAGAGCAGAGCUAAAAGAGAAAGAGGCUAGCUCCACCCAGGGCUUAUAUGGGGGAGACUAGCAGGGAGCCCAUAGGUCACCUUUG